ACAUAAGGUCCUUCUGGCUUGGCAUCCACUUUCUUCUGAAGUCCCCUUUGUAUGGGAAGGAUCUUCUUUGAUAUCGGGUCCCCCUUGUGGAAUUCUCUGGAGCAAACCUUGUUUUGGUGAACUCAUACCAUUUGCUUUUGGUACAUUUGACCAUGAUAGAUAUUUUGAACAUUCCUCUCCAACCAGGAUUGGAUCCAAAAACUCAAAGAGAAGGAAAUCUCGACCUCAAUAGGUGAAACCGCGAUAAGC
RNAcentral lists this long non-coding RNA (249 nucleotides) under Gossypium barbadense (sea-island cotton). Its description in RNAcentral is "long non-coding RNA (GBAR_LNC015620)". Lineage: Eukaryota; Viridiplantae; Streptophyta; Magnoliopsida; Malvales; Malvaceae. The record is from RNAcentral.